GAUGAACGCUGGCGGCGUGCCUAAUACAUGCAAGUCGAGCGAACAGACGAGGAGCUUGCUCCUCUGACGUUAGCGGCGGACGGGUGAGUAACACGUGGAUAACCUACCUAUAAGACUGGGAUAACUUCGGGAAACCGGAGCUAAUACCGGAUAAUAUAUUGAACCGCAUGGUUCAAUAGUGAAAUACGGUUUUGCUGUCACUUAUAGAUGGAUCCGCGCGGCAUUAGCUAGUUGGUAAGGUAACGGCUUACCAAGGCAACGAUGCGUAGCCGACCUGAGAGGGGGAUAGGCCACCCUGGAACUGGAACACGGUCAAGAGUCCUAAGGGAGGCAGCAGUAGGGAAUCUUACGCAAUAGGCGAAAGCAUGACGGAGCAACGCCGCGUGAGUGAUGAAGGUGUUCGGAUCGUAAAACUCUGUUAUUAGGGAAGAACAAAUGUGGAAGUAACUAUGCACGUCUUGACGGUACCUAAUCAGAAAGCAACGGCUAACUACGUG
RNAcentral lists this ribosomal RNA (497 nucleotides) under uncultured bacterium. Its description in RNAcentral is "partial 16S ribosomal RNA". It matches the Rfam family "Bacterial small subunit ribosomal RNA", at positions 28 to 507 of the family's 1533-position model. The record is from RNAcentral.